AUACAUGCAAGUCGAGGGGUAACAGGAAGUGCUUGCACUUCGCUGACGACCGGCGCACGGGUGAGUAUCGCGUAUACAAUCUGCCUCAUACUAGGGAAUAGCCCGAAGAAAUUUGGAUUAAUGCCCUAUAGUAUCUUUUUAAGGCAUCUUAUUAAGAUUAAAGGUUACGGUAUGAGAUGAGUAUGCGUUCUAUUAGCUAGUAGGUGUGGUAACGGCACACCUAGGCUACGAUAGAUAGGGGCCCUGAGAGGGGGAUCCCCCACACUGGUACUGAGACACGGACCAGACUCCUACGGGAGGCAGCAGUAAGGAAUAUUGGUCAAUGGACG
This 329-nucleotide ribosomal RNA is filed under the name uncultured Bacteroidota bacterium. RNAcentral's name for it is "bacterial SSU rRNA". It matches the Rfam family "Bacterial small subunit ribosomal RNA", at positions 51 to 377 of the family's 1533-position model. The record is from RNAcentral. Lineage: Bacteria; Pseudomonadati; Bacteroidota.